CCUACGGGUGGCUGCAGUGAGGAAUAUUGGUCAAUGGGCGGGAGCCUGAACCAGCCAAGCCGCGUGCGGGAAGAAGGUACAGCGUAUCGUAAACCUCUUUUGUCAGGGAACAAAGUAGGGUACUAGUACCCGGCUGAGGGUACCUGAAGCAUAAGCAUCGGCUAACUCAGUGCCUGCAGCCGCGGUAAUACGGAGGGUGCGAGCGUUAUCCGGAUUUAUUGGGUUUAAAGGGUGCGCAGGCGGCGAGUUAAGUCAGCGGUAAAAUCCCGGGGCUCAACCCCGACAAGCCGUUGAAACUGGCGGGCUAGAGUGGGCGAGAAGUAUGCGGAAUGCGCGGUGUAGCGGUGAAAUGCAUAGAUAUCACGCAGAACUCCGAUUGCGAAGGCAGCAUACCGGCGCCCAACUGACGCUCAGGCACGAAAGCGUGGGUAUCGAACAGGAUUAGAUACCCGGGUAGUC
RNAcentral lists this ribosomal RNA (459 nucleotides) under uncultured bacterium. RNAcentral describes it as "partial 16S ribosomal RNA". It matches the Rfam family "Bacterial small subunit ribosomal RNA", at positions 338 to 795 of the family's 1533-position model. The record is from RNAcentral.